Molecule: ribosomal RNA, 497 nt
Filed under: uncultured bacterium
Lineage: Bacteria
Description: partial 16S ribosomal RNA
Rfam family: Bacterial small subunit ribosomal RNA
Source: RNAcentral
GAUGAACGCUGGCGGCGUGCCUAAUACAUGCAAGUCGAGCGAACAGACGAGGAGCUUGCUCCUCUGACGUUAGCGGCGGACGGGUGAGUAACACGUGGAUAACCUACCUAUAAGACUGGGAUAACUUCGGGAAACCGGAGCUAAUAUCGGAUAAUAUAUUGAACCGCAUGGUUCAAUAGUGAAAGACGGUUUUGCUGUCACUUAUAGAUGGAUCCGCGCCGCAUUAGCUAGUUGGUAAGGUAACGGCUUACCAAGGCAACGAUGCGUAGCCGACCUGAGAGAGUGAUCGGCCACACUGGAACUGAGACACGGUCCAGACUCCUACGGGAGGCAGCAGUAGGGAAUCUUCCGCAAUGGGCGAAAGCCUGACGGAGCAACGCCGCGUGAGUGAUGAAGGUCUUCGGAUCGUAAAACUCUGUUAUUAGGGAAGAACAAAUGUGUAAGUAACUAUGCACGUCUUGACGGUACCUAAUCAGAAAGCCACGGCUAACUACGUG